UAGUGAAAUGAAGCAGGAAGUGUAG
RNAcentral lists this non-coding RNA (25 nucleotides) under Mus musculus (house mouse). The record is from RNAcentral. Lineage: Eukaryota; Metazoa; Chordata; Mammalia; Rodentia; Muridae.